RNA transcript from Schistocerca cancellata (South American locust), 4903 nucleotides. It is a transcript of the gene named alpha-ketoglutarate-dependent dioxygenase alkB homolog 4-like, with no coding region annotated. The record is from RefSeq and is a predicted model, not a curated record. The transcript is spliced from 5 exons. NCBI's taxonomy places the organism in Eukaryota, Metazoa, Arthropoda, Insecta, Orthoptera, Acrididae.
AACAGCUGGAUUAUAGCGAUGAAGAGAUCUGCGAGUGGCAGUGGGACAAUUAGAGACGGAAGGAGGCUUGGAAUGUGAUCGUGUUCCCAACAAAUGUUACUGACGUAGUAUGCUUCGUAGUUUUGCUCACGUGGAAUACGUAACCAAUGGAAAAACCUAGGCCAUGUGGUUGUAAAGGGAUCAGAACUUGCUUAAUAUGUGAGAGAGAAUUUGGAAUUCCUAAGAAGGAUUUUAAACCCCCCAAGGGCUGCAAAAGCUACAUAUACUGUGCUUUCUGUAACAAAGCAUGGGAAGGCUCAUGUAUGAAAGACUACAAAACUCAUUCAGCGCAUGAAGGAGAUGCUAUUGAAUUCCCAGGAAUAUAUAUACAGCUUGAUUUCUUGACACCAGAAGAAGAAGCAAUUUUAAUUAAUGGCAUUGAUGAAAUGCCAUGGGAUUUAUCUCAGAGUGGCCGUAGAAAGCAGAAUUUUGGACCAAAGUGUAAUUUUAAGAAGAAGCGUCUGCAGUUGAGUGAGUUUAAUGGUUUCCCAGAAUUCACAAAGUUUGUGCAAGAGCGUUUUGAGACUGUACCAUUAUUAUCAGGGUAUAAAACAAUUGAACAGUGCUCCUUGGAAUAUGAUCCAAUACGUGGUGCAUCAAUUGAUCCUCAUAUUGAUGACUGCUGGAUAUGGGGUGAGCGUAUUGUUACUGUUAAUCUUCUGUCAGACAGUAUGUUGACAUUCACAAAAUACAGAGGAGAUAUUAAGCGAUAUAAUUUGUGCUGCGCAUUUGAGUAUCGUCCAGUUGUCCUUGGUCCUCUAGACUGUUGUGAACAAGAAGAUUGUGUAGUUCGUGUACCCAUGCCAAGGCGAUCUCUCUUGGUGGUUUAUGGUCCAGCACGGUAUGGUUGGGAACACUGUGUUUUACGUGAAGACAUUUCAGAAAGAAGGGUGUGUAUUGCUUAUCGGGAGUUCACUCCACCAUAUCUUAAAGGUGGGCAACAUGAAGAGAAGGGAAGUGAAAUUUUGAAUGCUGCCAACAAUUUCUGGGACCAUAGGAUAAUGUCACAGGAAUCGUGAUCAUGGGCACAGAAGCUCUUACAUUUUACCUCCAAGAAGAGAGAAAAUUUAUACACAGAAAAAUGGAAAUGGGCCUAUCUUAAGGUGAUUCUGGAAUGAUUUACUGGCCUGAAAUAUGCAACACUGAAGUGCUUCACAACAUUGUUUUGUGGGGCAGUAAUAUGGUGUUAUAUAUUUAAUCCCGUCAGCACUGUACCACGGCUUUCAACUACCUCACUAGAGAAUAAAAUCACUUCUGGAAUUAGGAACGUGGCACAGAAACAGAAAGGAAGAGAAAAAGUUCUGCAUGACAACUCUUACUCUGUGGACAUCAAACCAAAUACCUACUAGCAUAGAUUCCUGGAGAACUUCAAAAUUUAAAAAUUUGCAUGACAAUGCUACUUUUAAUUAAUUAAGUCUACACUUAUCUACUAUUUAAACUUGCUUGUACUUUCCCAACAAAAAUCCAUCUUAAUUCCUAAUAUACUACCUAUGGUGUAUUUAUACAAGGAAAGAGACACACACAGAACUAGAAACAAGGAACCCUCGAGCAAUUAUAAUAUACACAUGCUGCCACUUGCUGUUGACAGUGUUGGUAAUGAAAGUAGCACCUCUGCCAGUCCCAUUUGUGGUGCCACUUGUACAGAUGUCAGAUGUUUUGGCCUUUAUGGUGUGUGGUAAAGGACCCAUUCUUCUGGUUUGUCAGGAUGGCAUUAGACUCUUCCACUUCAACAUUGUGAACUGAAUGGGUUGGCAAAGGCAACAGGAAUCUGUCAUAGGACGGGCAGCAUUUAGGACAACUCAGCUAGAUCAGAUAAUAGUACAUGCUCUCGUGCAGUGACAGUGCUUGGCAUCAAACCACAUUUCUUCUUCAUAUUGGUGUUGCGGCAGUCGACACCCCUGAAGAUAAUGCAUUCUGCUAGGAAACAGCAUGAUUGCCAGGCACUGAGUGGUGUCAGCAACAAACAGCUGGUGCCAGUGCUACAUUCCUACAACCUAGGACAAUUGUGCUUGGUGUAUAACCAUAGAUUGUGGCGUGGAGGUGGGAUGGUGCAGAAACCUGAAUUCUGGACUUCGGCAUUUGCAGGCCGAUGAUGACAACAGCUGUUCAGUGGGUGCUGGAGCGUCUUGCAGUACAGAUACCACCUGGCUACAGUCGCCCAAUGAUUUCUUUGAUGUAUAUAAAUGAUGUCCUGGUGACUGCUUUGGCUGUCUGGCAGUGGAGGCAUCCACCAAUGAUUGUUGCAGUGCUACAUCAAUGCGUCAUGAGCAUCUUGUCACACUGUGACGUAGCAUGUGGAAUGUUUUGGAAAUCAGCUGUGUCAUCAACCACAUGCUUCAGGGUGGUAAGUGGAACUCUGUGUCCUGAAUUUCCUUGGCUUCGCAGUCCUCCAUCCUUACCACAACACGGUAUAUAAAGAUAUCGCAAAUGCUUAUGAUAGUGUCCUUAUGCCCCCUAUUGGUGAAUAAGUUGAAAAAUCAUGACACUCCAUCAUAAUUCAUCCACUAGUGACCCCCUGUCUGUUGAUAGACAGAAGCAUGAGCAUCAUAAGGAACAGUGAAGCAGCAGGGCCAAGGAGAACAAGUAAAGGGUUAUCGCAAGCCUUUGGUGUUGUCACCAUGUUAUUAAAUCUAGGUGCAUCGGCCCUAAUUUUCAGUGUUAACCCCAAGUGUUUGAGUAUCAUAUUGUGUAGCUGAAUUAUGUGUUUAUAAAUGAAGGGUUAGUUUUAUUGAGUCAGCAGCAGAUGAAUAAUGCCAUGAUAAUGUUUAAUGAGUGGCUGACUAAUAACUAACUUGACAACUUCCUCAUAAAUCAACUCUCUCUCUCUCUCUCUCUCUCUCUCUCUCUCUCUCUCUCUCUCUCUCUGUGUGUGUGUGUGUGUGUGUGUGUGUGUGUGUGUGUGUGUGUGUGUGUGUGUUUACACCAGACAAAGGUUUAACUAAAAGGGUGGCCAUGUACUUAGGGCUUUGCAUUAGUCAUAAGCUAAAGUGGUCACAUUACAUAAGUACAUAAUUAAAUAAUGUGAAGGUGCCACAAAUAUCCUCAUGCUGUGACAGGCUUUUGUUGGAUGCAGACCUGCGAAUUUUCAUUGACAUAUACAUGAUCUAAUAAGACUUUAUGUGGAGUAUGGAUGCAUCUGAUAUGGAUCAGCAACACAAAGUAGCCUAGAAAAAUGAGAUAAGUGACAGUACAAAGCCAUCAGAAUCUGUUUUGGAGCAUUCAAAUCUACUCUAAUACUUUGCUGGUGGAACCAAAUGAAAUGCUGUUAGAGCUAUGCAGGAAAUACAUCAGUGCCAAAUUCCUGUUCGAACUUUUUCACUUCUUACAUGACAGUUUACUAACAAAGGUUAGAGAACUCACAACUAAGUGGUAUGCAGACAGGUCUUGGCAUAACAAGAAACUACAGCCCUUGCCAAAUUUUUAGAGACACGCCUUUUCUUUGUGUGAAUGCGUCAUCACUUUGACAAAUUUGAGCUGCUUCAGCGCACCCUAUACUAACAUAUUCCAUACACCCAAGGUGUAAUGAAUGAGAAAAUUUUAGCUGUCAGAUUGUUUAGCAACAUAGCCAUCCACAAGACAGAUUUACAGUGGUGAGUCUAAACACAGACAGAGCAGGGAAUGCAUUCAUAAUGGCAAAACUGAUCAAGGGAGGAAAUUCUAGCUCCCUGAGGUAGUGUCUAUACUCACUGCAGAAUUUGCAGCAAUCUUAGAGGGACUUAAAUAAAAGAAAAAAUAGUUGUAUAAGAAUCAAUUAUUAUUUUAUCAGAUUCACUCUCAAAAUUGUUGCUGUUAAAAUUCUACAGUGCUAACAAUACCUAAAAUUACCUAGUAUUGCUACAAUGCUGACAAUACCUAAAAUCAUCUAGUAUUGCAGUCUGUCAAGCACUUAAGUGUGGAAUGCAACAGAGUCAUAUAGAUGUAGAAACAACAUCGUAGAAGCAACUGAGGAGUGUUCUACCUAGAUAAUAGUAUCAUUGUGUUCUGGAUGAAGGUGCACAGCAGAAUAAAGGGAAAUGAAGGUGUAGCUACCCUGGCCAAGGAAGCUGUGUGCACUGGCUUAGUGAAAAGCAGUAUAGCGCCAGCUCCUACAAAAGGAUUAGCAACACAGCCCGAUGGAAUGCAGAUAUUAUUGAAUUGAAAGGCGAUACUAUGCCACAGUGGUACCUACUCCACCACGUCCUGGGCAACAUAGAAAGGCAAAUACAGCUGAAACUUUACAGCGACAGUAGCAUGUCUUCAAUUUAAUCACUGUAGAUUCCAACAUCAUAUCUACUGCCUCGACAUGGACCCAAUUUCUUCAAGUGAAUGCCACAGUGAGGAAGAUGUUAACUAAAAUUUCUUCUGUUGUGACAUAUCAAGAAACUAUGAUCCCAAUGCAGCAUCUGAUGCCCUCUGACAAUAAAGUACCAGCAAACAUUCAAGCUCUUUUAGUGACAGAAGACAUAAAAGUGUGUCAAUUAUUUUGUGAUUUUAUAGCAGAUGGACAAAUAAAAAUAGAGGAAAUUGAUUUUUUGUUACAAUGUAAUAUAGUAAUGGAUAAAUAUGAUUUGUGUUGUUAACUUGCCUUUCAUGCUAAUGAAAUUUUCUUUGAUCAUGGAUACAAUUUCAGUUUCAGUGAAUUUAAUUGAUAAUUGUCAUUUUUUAAUGAUUUCAGGCUGUUACACACUUAAAUGUUAAAAAUUUUUUGGAGGCUGGCUGUAUGGGUGUAUCCAAAACCCAUUGAUAAAUUUUAAAUAAUGUACUAAAAAAGACAAUUUAUUGACUAAAACCUUUGCAAAAACUUUGCAGAAUGUUUUUAAGACUCAUAUAAUACCUAGUGAGGAGUCUUCUUAAUCUCGGGACAUCUGUAACGUAUUUAGAUCUU